UCCUAAGAGCUGGUAAACUGGCUGGGAUCUCUGGGAGCUGUAGGCCAAAACCAUCUGGGGACCCCUGGUUGAGAACCAUUGAUUUAAAAAGUCAAUUUGAAAAAAUAAGACUGCCUCUGAAAACAAGUUCUAAUGCAUCUUUGGAGCAAAUGUUAAUAUAAGACCCUGUCUUAUUUUGGGGAAAACAGGGUAAGUACAUUUAUUCCAAUAUCUCAAAUUCUUUUUGCUCAGAAGUAUAGGUGAACCGAUUAAUAACAUUGCUAUAGUUCUUAUAGAUAAAUAACUACAACAAGUACUCUUCAAUUGAUGGGUUUUUAACAGCUUAAUCCAGUUUAAUUUAUCCAAGUGUGAGCUUUUGAACCUAGGUGGUUGUAAAUCUUAAAUCUCCGUUGAUCCCACCCUCUUUGGAAGCACUUUGACCUUGUGCUGAAUGGAAUAGUGCCAGCCAAAUCUCAGUUGAAACAAAAUCCACAAAGGAGUGGAUAACUUCUUCAGAACAAGGGCCUGCACAUUCUCCUAUUAGAUUUGGGAGGAUUCAACCUCUCUUAAUGUCCUCUCAACCCUAUUUUUUAAAUUAUAAUUUUUAAAAGGGAGCACUACACUGGACCACGUGGUCAAGAGACCACAUUGGCAAUUUUGCUUCCAAUUCUGAAGAUAGGAAACGCUUUCUAGUUCUAAAAGAGCUCCAAGGGAGAAGAAGAUAGUGAGAUCCAUCCCACAAUGUCUACAUCACAAAAGAUAUUUGGAAAAAAGGAUGGGUUGGAAUGCAUUGGAUUUCUUGGGCAGGAUUCAGUUUGCUCAUGAGCUGGAUUCUGCCUUAUAAUUCAUGGAAACUGUGUGCAAUGUACAUGAUCACAAUAGUGAAAUAGAGCAACGUAAAGCAGCUGCAGAUAGUGAGAUCCGGGCCAUGGAUAGCGAAACCUGAAGCACAAAUAUCAAGUCCCGUUUAAGCAGGUGUCCUGUACCGGCAACGGGCCGCCUGUAGAUCUGUGCACCUGGCAAGACAAAGAAGCUAAAUCCAAUGUUUGCCAAUCGAGAAAUCUCGCCAGUUGAAGAAGAAGCCACCGAGGUAUUUUAUUCAAGUCAGCUGAUUUGGAUGCCAGCUCGCAGUAAGCCGCCGAGCUGGCAUUGCAAAAACAAGCAUUUUAGAUAUUCAAAACCUUUGUCUUUCCCAUGGCUGCCCCAGCUGGAGCCACCUUCAUGCUGACUGGAGGAGCUUUGUUGACGUCAUAGCCAGCUGGGGAGGAUUCCCUUGGAGAGGAGAGUCUGUGGUGCCCGACAACCAAUCAGAGAAUGUUCCCUGCUUCCGAUGCAGAUUUCUGCUCUCCAAUGGCUAUGGGGGAAAGGAUGGUCCAGGAGACAAAGAAAUAUAAGGUGUUCUGAAUGGGUUACUGUUGUCCCAGCAGAGAGACACAACAAAGAGGUUCCAUGCCAUCAGGUCGGCUUGGAGUUAUAGCAACCUUAUGAAUGAAAGACCUCAAAGUCACCCUGUCCCCAAUAGCUCUGCUCAGGUCUUACAGAGUCAGGAAAGCAUUACAACAUCAUCAUCUACUGGCAGAAUCCCAGGCAUAUGUUUCCAUGAUGAUUCUCAAAAACAUUGUGUGUACAGAAAAAAGGAACAACACACAAAAAAGAACAAAACUACCCUCCACACACAGACACAGUCUAAGAAUCCAGAACAAAAAAUUAAACAUGCUACAGGGA
Long non-coding RNA from Anolis carolinensis (green anole), 1704 nucleotides. RefSeq lists it as uncharacterized. The transcript has 2 exons. The record is from RefSeq and is a predicted model, not a curated record. Lineage: Eukaryota; Metazoa; Chordata; Lepidosauria; Squamata; Anolidae.